AUACAGAGGGUGCGAGCGUUAAUCGGAAUUACUGGGCGUAAAGCGCGCGUAGGCGGCUUGGUCAGUCGGAUGUGAAAGCCCCGGGCUCAACCUGGGAAUGGCAUUCGAUACUGCCAGGCUAGAGUAUGAGAGAGGGAAGUGGAAUUUCCGGUGUAGCGGUGAAAUGCGUAGAUAUCGGAAAGAACACCAGUGGCGAAGGCGACUUCCUGGCCCAAUACUGACGCUGAGGCGCGAAAGCGUGGGGAGCGAACAGAAUUAGAAACCCUAGUAGUCC
This 274-nucleotide ribosomal RNA is filed under the name uncultured bacterium. RNAcentral describes it as "partial 16S ribosomal RNA". It matches the Rfam family "Bacterial small subunit ribosomal RNA", at positions 523 to 796 of the family's 1533-position model. The record is from RNAcentral.